CAAUCGCUGGCAGGCUGAGUCAUUCCAUCCAGCAAACAAUCGGAAGCAAUUCUGCUUCCCACUGCUCUGGAGGAAUCAAAAGCUACUCUGUGGCAGCCUUUUGUGUGCAGGUCCCCCCAGCGCUCAGCCUUCAGUGGCUGGCGGAGCCUCCCUCCAUUCCUGAGGGCAGCUUGUGUCUUGGCUGCAUUGAUUGACAGUUCUCCGCAGGAAUAAGAUUACCCGCCAAUCCUGACCUGCCCUUCCCCCUUCCAAAAAUAAAUCCCCAGUUGCAUGCAAAGCUCAUGCAAAUUCAACCUGCUGCUGCCGCUGCUCCCCGUGAGAGAGCAGAAGGCAGGCUCCACAUUCAUGACUCGGUACCCCUGGGCACCAGGGCCUUGCGGAUGAAGGGAGCCACUUCUAAAGAGCCGUGACUGGGAUCUAAAUGAGGGAGUAGGUGAGAUCUCCAGAGGAGGGCUGGGUGUCUGACUGGACUUCUUCCCCUCUCACCUGGACAGAUAAGGAACCCGGGUCUAAUUAGGACCCUGGAGGCCAGAAUGUCCAGGGUCCUGCUGCACGUCCCUGAAGAUGAUCCAGCUGUGAACCCGGGUAAAUGAACAUCACAACUAACGGGUCUUGGACAGGGAUUGAACACAGGUUUUUUUUGCCUAUUUACCAACUUUGUGACUUCCUAAAUUAUUCUGAGGCCAAGUUCAGGUUCAGUUGGGAAAGAUCUUUGAAAACACUGGCAAUGAUGGCCAUUGCUUUGGGGUGGGGGGAGGUGACAUGCUGUUAUUUCUGUGACAUCCCUUGUCCAGGUACCAAAGUUGGGAGCUGGGUGGCAUUUGACAAAUCAGACAACACAGCGUCUCCAUCUGGACAGGAGAUGUCUCAAGUUCCCUUCAAGUUCUCUGACUCCGAGGAAUGCUUUUAUGGCUCCCCCUCUCUAAAAUUCUGACCCUUCAUUCACCCGUACACAGGUCCACAUGACGAUCCUCUGCACUCCAGCCCAGGCUCCUGGGACAGAGGAAAAUACUCCAGGUGAGAGCUAAGUCACAUUCCAUUUCACCCAAGAGUCAGAGGCAGGGAAGGAGUAAGGGAGCCCCUCGCUAAUGGUGCCCUUGAAAACAGAGAGGGCGCUGGGACCCCUUUCCGUGGCAUCACAGGGGCAACCGCCCCCUUGCAUGACAGGUGCCUGAAGCCCGCCCUGCCAGCACGGUCAGGAGUCUCAGGCCGUCUGCAGCAGGAGAACUUGGCCCCCCGUCACAGAAUGACAGAAGUGAGAAAAGCUCACCAGUGAUGCCCACCACUCCUCCAUUAGAGGCCACAGACCCAAAGAGGGUCUGGGGACUUGUUGGAGGCCACACAGCAAGCAAGAGCAGAGUGGGGGCUGCGAACAUGGCCCCUGGCUCCCUCCCUGGUGCUUCCCACUUUCUUUAACAGUGGAGCAGGGAGGAAGAAGGGCGGGUGGGAUAUCAUGCCAUGCUGACAGGCUCUGAUUUAAAAAUACUCAGAUCAGACGGGAGAUGAAGCCAAGGGCCCAUCUGCACGCCAGUCACCUGGGACUCCCAGUGUCAAUGCCAGCUGUGGCCAGGUGAUGACUUUCUAUAAACAACUGGAGCUCUUAAGCUUGGCUGGUGCUAGAGUGUGACAAGGGACAGAGGCAGAAAGGAGCAAAAGUCCUCUGUGGCCUACAAGACCCCAGGGAGGGCUUGGCUUAAGGUAGGGAAUGGGGAGAACUGGAGCAGGUGGACGGUGUGGGAGAGAGUCUGGAGCAGGAUACAAGCUGGGUCUCAAUGAGGCUCUGCUUCUCUUUGCCUUCACCUCGCCCCAACAUGGCUCCCUGUUCACACCCACCGAGUGGGUCCUGUGUGUGUGUGUGUGUGUGUGUGUGCGGUGGGGCAGGGGCCUGGUGCCUGAGACUGUAGAACUCAGAAAGAGACUGGAGUUGGGGAAGCCCUGGAAGAGGGGACAGCUCAGACUCCUAACUCUGAAAAUGACCUAGGCUGGUCCCUCAGGGCAGGUGGCUCUGGGUACUGGUGCUGUCCUGUACCUGAGUGUGUUUUGGUGUGCUACACAGCCUGGGCCUGUCUGUGCAUGACCCAGGAAGCCAGCAGCCAUUCCUGACAAGUCUCCACCUGUCCCGAGUCAAACCUCUCCAGGUGCCAUUUGAUGUGCUUGGCUGGGGAAUGUGACUUCUGUGUCACCUCUUCCUCUCCCUGGGGGCUUAGUGAUCCAGAGCCUCACAAGAAGCAAAGGGGCCUUGGAGCCCCUGUGGAGCAUCCAGUUGGCCACUCCUCUGCAGUCCCACAGCCUGCCACCCCCACACCCCCAACGGUGAGGAUCAUUAACCUUUUCUCAGAACCCCAAGGUGCCAGCAGAUUGGUCCCCAGCUACCAAGUAUCUGAUUUUGUCCCUUCCACCUCUGUGAACCCUCCUGCUCAGUGUUACAGCCCACAGGGACAGAGGUACAUAAAGAGGCUCUGAGGAGCUGGGACGCAGGGUCCCUUGGGCUUCACUUCAGGACCUCCUUGCACUUGGGCCCUGUGGACAUGGCCGGCUGGCAUGUCCCCAACAUGCCACCUUCCGUCUCAGUAAGUUUCCACAGGCCCUUCCCUCUGUGAGGCUGCUUCUCAGGUGCAGGGGAAAGUGGAGAAGCCUCCCUCCCUGCCCCUCGCCUCCCUUGACUGACUGAAGAAAGCAAUGCCGGCUAAGAACUCCAAUCCAAGCAUACCAACUUCCAUCGCUGGGGUCUGGGGAGGGCAGCCGGGCACUGCGGGACUGCCCCCCUACAGCUCAGAGCAGAGGCCUCUGAGGCUGGCUGAAGUUCAGGAACCACUGUUCUCGCAUUUUCUUUAUACCUCUGCCCCAUGCCCGUCACAGCAUUGCUGGAAUUACCAUUGCUGGCUCCUUGAGGACAGGGACUUGUCUUGCAGUCCCAGGAAAUGUGUCAGCCUUGUGAAUUAGACUCAGAUGUGCAUUUUAAUUAGAUGUCAUGUGAAUAAUUCCUCACCUCCCACUCACUCCCAUCUUCUCUACCCUUCCAUCCACCCAGGCCCCAGGGGGAAUCUUAUCUGCCCUCAGUACAAAAAGAAAAUUGUCCUCCUCUCUCUCACUUAUCUCCUCCUCUCCUUCCUUCCUUCUUCCCAGGUAGCCAUUGGGGGCUCGUGGAACUGAGAGCGAGGAUGGAAUAGGGUCUCGUGGAGUGAAAGGAAGCUCCGGGUGUAUGUCAGGGCUUGGGCGAGCAGAGUAGUGGGAGGGCGUGUGUGAGAUAUUGAUCCCUGCUCCAAUGUUGCCAAGACUUCAAAAGCCUUCUAGGUGUUUCCUGGGUUGCACUGUCCUCUCAAAAUACAAAAACAGACUGAGGGAGUCUAGCCUGAACCCCCUCGCACACAGACUCCUUCAAGGACACCCUGAGCCCUUCAUGGGCUCCCUUUGGGAUGGUCCCUUCCCGGGGGAUGCUGAGAGCCACUGCCGAGUCUGUAUGGCCCCUGGCAUUUUGCCAACAGUAUUGAUUGACAGGCGAGGCAUUACUAUCCGCCUCUGCCCCGACUUUUGAGUUCUCGCACUAUUUUGGAGUUCUCGUGGGGAUUUCCAGGGAUUCCCCGAGAGUUCCCAUUGGUUGGGGAAGUGCAGGAGGAAGGAUUUCCGGGAGAGAUAUUUCCGGCUGGGGGUUCCUGGACAAGCCUCGUGGCGUUAGGGAGGAUUCCCUGGGAGCUGUGUGAAGUGUUUUCCUGCAGUUUAAAAAUAAAGUUUGUUCCUGCUUCAGUGGCUCGUGACUUGUGCCCAGCCAGACUGCGGCGGGGGGGGCACAGGCCUGUGGAAAUAGAACUGGAAAUGGAGGGUGACCGUGGCCAAAGAGACAUACAUGCCGCAGAAGCACGGUACUGAGCCAACGUGCCAGACAGACCAGCUUCUGUCUGUACUCAGCCAAGGCCAGUGAUUUGCAGCACAAGAUUUCCAGGAACACAGAAGCAUGGCGAUCACUAGGGAUAUAUACAAUCCAGGUGUCCUCCCUCCCUCCCUCCCUCCCUCCUUCCUUCCUUCCUUCCUUCCUUCCUUCUAGAUGUCUUUUAAGAGUGAAAGGGGUGCUAGUGUUAAUUACACUAGGACAACAGGCACAAGCUGGGAUGUAAGGUCACUUCACCAUGUGUAUCCUGGAUCAGCCAUAUUUCUCCCAUGUGGUCUAGGCCAGGGGUACAGAUGUAGGAGGAAGGUGGGGUGUCUCCUGGCCCCUGGUCCCUCCCCACAACCUCUUAGCCCUCUUUCAACUCAAGAAGCCAGGAAGCAACUGGGUCGUCAGGAGCUCCAGCUAAAUGGGCCUUUGGCCAGGUACUUUACCUACAGUGACUCUGCUGUAACUCCACGUGCCUUCACACUGGGCCCUCAGCUCAUCUUUCCUCAUGAUAACCCUGGGCAAGUAUUAAAAGCUCCAUCUGAGAGGGGGCCACAGUUGUCAGAGCUGAUUCUGGAACCCAGGACUUCUGACUCACAGGCCAGAGUUCCUCCUUCCCCACAUGUACCCUCGUCAUGGGGCAGGAAAGAUGGCAGCUGGGGUUGUGGCUUGGAUUGAUGGGCGGGUACCCCACCUCUCAGUUGCCACCUCCCAGGACCUAUGCCAGCGGUAGUUCUGAUGGUAGAGAAAUCUGUCACUGGAGGGGUGAACUUCUGGGAGCAUCUGUGCAUUGAUAAAAUAUCCCAAGCAUUCAUUGAAUAUCUUACUUUGCACAGUCACCAUCAGAGCCCUAAAGAUGUGGCAGCAAGCAGAGUCUGCCCUUAAAGGUGUGUAAAGUCAUGUUAGAAAAUGACAAAUUUAGGGGGAAAGAUGGUGGAAGGAGAUGGACA
Molecule: long non-coding RNA, 4821 nt
Filed under: Marmota monax (woodchuck)
Lineage: Eukaryota; Metazoa; Chordata; Mammalia; Rodentia; Sciuridae
Source: RNAcentral